This 253-nucleotide ribosomal RNA is filed under the name uncultured bacterium. Its description in RNAcentral is "partial 16S ribosomal RNA". It matches the Rfam family "Bacterial small subunit ribosomal RNA", at positions 524 to 776 of the family's 1533-position model. The record is from RNAcentral.
UACGAAGGGGGCUAGCGUUGCUCGGAAUCACUGGGCGUAAAGCGCACGUAGGCGGAUUCCUAAGUCGGUGGUGAAAUCCUGGAGCUCAACUCCAGAACUGCCUUCGAUACUGGAGAGCUUGAGUCCGGGAGAGGUGAGUGGAACUGCGAGUGUAGAGGUGAAAUUCGUAGAUAUUCGCAAGAACACCAGUGGCGAAGGCGGCUCACUGGCCCGGUACUGACGCUGAGGUGCGAAAGCGUGGGGAGCAAACAGG